GCAUGUAAGGUGAUCUGGCUGCAGUAUCUGUCGCCCCAUGAUCACCAAGGUUGAUGUGGCUGCUCUGGCUGGCUGAGUGGGUGUCCCCUUCCUCCCUCGCUGCUCCACCUGUGACCUCCUGAAGCUGCACGCUCGCUCGGAGAGGACAGUCAUCCCCGAUCGAGGAGGACCGCUUCCUCGGUCCAGAGUAUGAGCAGUUGCACUGCCCUGCUAGAACCUCCAGACGAGCUCUCAGAAUUUAAGUUGAUGACAUGGUACAGCCAAAGCAGGAGAAAGCAUAAUGUCUUUUUGGGGAAUAAUGAUUGAAUUG
This 310-nucleotide small nuclear RNA is filed under the name Chinchilla lanigera (long-tailed chinchilla). RNAcentral describes it as "7SK RNA (ENSCLAG00000022038.1)". It matches the Rfam family "7SK RNA". Rfam says of the family: 7SK was discovered as an abundant small nuclear RNA in the mid-70s but a possible function has only recently been suggested. Lineage: Eukaryota; Metazoa; Chordata; Mammalia; Rodentia; Chinchillidae. The record is from Rfam by way of RNAcentral.